Molecule: ribosomal RNA, 423 nt
Filed under: Laminacauda sp. n. FCH
Lineage: Eukaryota; Metazoa; Arthropoda; Arachnida; Araneae; Linyphiidae
Description: partial large subunit ribosomal RNA
Rfam family: Bacterial large subunit ribosomal RNA
Source: RNAcentral
AUAAUUAUAAGUAAAAUCUGCUCCAUGAAAAAUAAAUAGCCGCAGAAAUUUAACUGUGCUAAGGUAGCAUAAUCAUUUACCUUUUAAUUAAAGGUUUGUAUGAAUGAUUUAACAUUUAAUUUAUUUUUUUAUUAAACUUUAUUUAAUUUAAAUUAAAAAUAAAAAUGUUUUUAUGAAAAAAAAAGACGAUAAGACCCUAUUGAACUUAACUUAAGUUAAGCUGGGGAAGCUAAUUAAAUAUAAUUUUGAUUACAAAAAAUAAAAUAAUUUCUAAUACAAUUAAAUUUAAAGUUACCAUAGGGAUAACAGCGUAAUAUAAUUUUAAAGCUCAUAUUAAAAAUUAAGCUUACGACCUCGAUGUUGAAUUAGAAUUUCUAAUAAACGCAAGCGUUUACAAAGUAGGUCUGUUCGACCUUUAAUAAU